Long non-coding RNA from Oncorhynchus tshawytscha (Chinook salmon), 624 nucleotides. The record is from Ensembl. NCBI's taxonomy places the organism in Eukaryota, Metazoa, Chordata, Actinopteri, Salmoniformes, Salmonidae.
UGUCCUUACAACAGGCUGGACCAUCCAUGUCCUUACAACAGGCUGGACCAUCCAUGUCCUUACACAGCAUGUAGAAGUCUGAUGUCCCUUUAUACCACAGGCUGGACAGUCCAUGUCCUUACAACAGGCUGGACAGUCCAUGUCCUUACAACAGGCUGGACAGUCCAUGUCCUUACAACAGGCUGGACAGUCCAUGUCCUUACAACAGGCUGGACAGUCCAUGUCCUUACAACAGGAUGGACAGUCCAUGUCCUUACAACAGGCUGGACAGUCCAUGUCCUUACAACAGGCUGGACAGUCCAUGUCCUUACAACAGGCUGGACAGUCCAUGUCCUUACAACAGGCUGGACAGUCCAUGUCCUUACAACAGGCUGGACAGUCCAUGUCCUUACAACAGGCUGGACAGUCCAUGUCCUUACAACAGGAUGGACAGUCCAUGUCCUUACAACAGCAGGUAGAAGUCUGAUGUCCCUUUAUACCACAGGCUGGACAGUCCAUGUCCUUACAACAGGCUGGACAGUCCAUCUCCUUACAACAGGCUGGACAGUCCAUGUCCUUACAACAGGCUGGACAGUCCAUGUCCUUACAACAGCAGGUAGAAGUCUAAUGUCCCUUUUUGGGAAC